UUAGUGGCGGACGGGUGAGUAACGCGUGGAAAACCUGCCGUAUACUGGGGGAUAACACUUAGAAAUAGGUGCUAAUACCGCAUAAGCGCACAGCUUCGCAUGAAGCGGUGUGAAAAACUCUGGUGGUAUACGAUGGUUCCGCGUCUGAUUAGCUAGUUGGUGGGUAAUGGCCUACCAAGGCAACGAUCAGUAGCCGGCCUGAGAGGGUGAACGGCCACAUUGGGACUGAGACACGGCCCAAACUCCUACGGAAGGCAGCAG
RNAcentral lists this ribosomal RNA (261 nucleotides) under uncultured bacterium. RNAcentral describes it as "partial 16S ribosomal RNA". It matches the Rfam family "Bacterial small subunit ribosomal RNA", at positions 92 to 354 of the family's 1533-position model. The record is from RNAcentral.